RNAcentral lists this ribosomal RNA (440 nucleotides) under uncultured bacterium. RNAcentral describes it as "partial 16S ribosomal RNA". It matches the Rfam family "Bacterial small subunit ribosomal RNA", at positions 338 to 795 of the family's 1533-position model. The record is from RNAcentral.
CCUACGGGUGGCUGCAGUGGGGUAUAUUACACAAUGGGGGGAACCCUGAUGCAGCGACGCCGCGUGGGUGAAGAAGCGCCUCGGCGCGUAAAGCCCUGUCAGCAGGGAAGAAAAUGACGGUAUCUGAAGAAGAAGCCCCGGCUAACUCCGUGCCAGCAGCCGCGGUAAUGCGUGGGGGGCAAGCGUUAUCCGGAUUUACGUGGUGUAAAUGGGGAGCAGGCGGCGAUGCAAGCCAGGAGUGAAAGCCCGGGGCCCAACCCCGGGACGGCUCUUGGAACUGCGUGGCUGGAGUGCAGGAGGGGCAGGCGGAAUGCCUGGUGUAGCGGUGAAAUGCGUAGAUAUCAGGAGGAACACCGGUGGCGAAGGCGGCCUGCUGGACUGCAACUGACGUUGAGGCCCGAAAGCGUGGGGAGCAAACAGGAUUAGAUACCCCAGUAGUC